AUCUUGAGAAAUUUCAUCGUGAUGGGGAUAGAUCAUUGCAAUUGUUGGUCUUCAACGAGGAAUGCCUAGUAAGCGCGAGUCAUCAGCUCGCGUUGACUACGUCCCUGCCCUUUGUACACACCGCCCGUCGCUCCUACCGAUUGAAUGGUCCGGUGAAGUGUUCGGAUCGCGGCGACGGGGGCGGUUCGCCGCCCCCGACNUCACGAGAAGUCCAUUGAACCUUAUCAUUUAGAGGAAGGAGAAGUCGUAACAAGGUUUCCGUAGGUGAACCUGCGGAAGGAUCAUUG
This 287-nucleotide ribosomal RNA is filed under the name Deschampsia hackelii. Its description in RNAcentral is "partial 18S ribosomal RNA". It matches the Rfam family "Eukaryotic small subunit ribosomal RNA", at positions 1549 to 1831 of the family's 1831-position model. Lineage: Eukaryota; Viridiplantae; Streptophyta; Magnoliopsida; Poales; Poaceae. The record is from RNAcentral.